Heterocephalus glaber (naked mole-rat) is the source of this 951-nucleotide long non-coding RNA. The record is from Ensembl. Lineage: Eukaryota; Metazoa; Chordata; Mammalia; Rodentia; Bathyergidae.
UGUUCGAAGGAUUUUUCAGAGGCUUAUUCCCUGCCUGUUUCUCUUCAUCUUCUGAUAAACACUUGUGGUUUUCAUAACCUGCCAGUGAGUUCAGAGGGGACUGCCUGUUGCUCUAACUCCAGACAGAAUAAGCACCGUGCAAAAUCGCAAGAACACAGUAAAGAACCCCAGAGGUCAGAACAGUCAUUUACUGCUCUCAAAUUGCUCGUGGUGUUUGUGCUGUCUGGAAAUGAAGCUUGAAAGGACGUGGACUUAGAGCCAAAUACAGAGAACAGAGCUAAAGGAAGUGGCCCUAAGUUGAUCAAGAGCUUGAAGACGAAACCCUUGACCAAGAGGCUGGUGCUGUAGCAUGGGCAGACAGUGGGCUGCUAACCUCAGGAGGACUAAAUAUGGGAAGUGCCAUCUGUCGUAGAAGGUGUAGGGAGUUCUCCUGAUUGGGCUGGCCAAAGAUUCCUUGAAGUUCCGAUGCUGUGAUGGCUUGAUGAAGGUGUAAAUCCAGUCAAUCAAUUCCUGAAUGAACUAUCCUGGAACUUGAAGUGUCUGUGUUCUUGGCCAGGACUGGCUUCAAGAGAGCUGGUGACCAUCUGUGUGAUUGGAAGGUUGCCAGCAUAUGGCCUCUAUUGCUGUGUCAUGCUGCGUGAAAUCCUGCCAGCAAAGCCUCACAGGACUGAAACUGCCCUUCCAGGCAUGAGGAUGCAACCUGAGCUACAAAAACAGGAUUGGGAUAAUGAUCCACCAAACCCCAGACGACCACAGCACCCUGGAAAACCGGGCUCCAAACUUUUGCGAAUGGACCAGUCUGAUCCUCUUUGCCAGAGUGCACUCCUUCCAGCUACUACUCAGACCAGAGUCCUUUCCUUAUCUUCUCUUGCCUUCCAGUUAGAUCUUUCACCUGUACAUUCAUACUGUUGCUCAAGUUUUCAUUUCAGUUAUCACUAAAACAUUGACGGG